GACGAACGCUGGCGGCGUGCCUAAUACAUGCAAGUCGAACGCACAGUUUAUACCGUAGCUUGCUACACCAUAGACUGUGAGUUGCGAACGGGUGAGUAACGCGUAGGUAACCUGCCUGGUAGCGGGGGAUAACUAUUGGAAACGAUAGCUAAUACCGCAUAAUAUUGAUUAUUGCAUGAUAAUUGAUUGAAAGAUGCUAUUGCAUCACUACCAGAUGGACCUGCGUUGUAUUAGCUAGUAGGUGAGGUAACGGCUCACCUAGGCGACGAUACAUAGCCGACCUGAGAGGGUGAUCGGCCACACUGGGACUGAGACACGGCCCAGACUCCUACGGGAGGCAGCAGUAGGGAAUCUUCGGCAAUGGACGAAAGUCUGACCGAGCAACGCCGCGUGAGUGAAGAAGGUUUUCGGAUCGUAAAGCUCUGUUGUAAGAGAAGAACGGGUGUGAGAGUGGAAAGUUCACACUGUGACGGUAUCUUACCAGGAAGGGACGGCUAACUACGUG
This 505-nucleotide ribosomal RNA is filed under the name uncultured bacterium. Its description in RNAcentral is "partial 16S ribosomal RNA". It matches the Rfam family "Bacterial small subunit ribosomal RNA", at positions 28 to 507 of the family's 1533-position model. The record is from RNAcentral.